CUCGUUUUCGAUCUUAAGGUAUUCAAAUCAACGUUCCACACCAUUAAAACUGAUCUAGGGUAUUUAAAGUUUUUAGAAAUAAAAUUUUAUAUUUUUUCGACAUACUUUACUUUAUGAUUAAAUCAUUUCAAAAUUGUCAAUUUUCAAUAACUACUAUGAUGAGUUUGGAGUUUAGAAGAAUCUCAAUUUCUUCAAAUUUUGAUAGAAAAUACUUUAAACUAUUUAGAUUAAGGUUAACAUUAUUGAUCUUGAAUUUAAAAGUCCUAUGCUCAAAUUUUAAAGAUUAUUCAAUUUCCACCGU
Molecule: long non-coding RNA, 301 nt
Filed under: Ananas comosus (pineapple)
Lineage: Eukaryota; Viridiplantae; Streptophyta; Magnoliopsida; Poales; Bromeliaceae
Description: long non-coding RNA (ACOM_LNC035327)
Source: RNAcentral